AGUGAACGCUGGCGGUAGGCCUAACACAUGCAAGUCGAACGGCAGCACAGUAAGAGCUUGCUCUUACGGGUGGCGAGUGGCGGACGGGUGAGGAAUACAUCGGAAUCUACUUUCUCGUGGGGGAUAACGUAGGGAAACUUACGCUAAUACCGCAUACGACCUACGGGUGAAAGCAGGGGAUCUUCGGACCUUGCGCGAUUGAAUGAGCCGAUGUCGGAUUAGCUAGUUGGCGGGGUAAAGGCCCACCAAGGCGACGAUCCGUAGCUGGCCUGAGAGGAUGAUCAGCCACACUGGAACUGAGACACGGUACAGACUCCUACGGGAGGCAGCAGUGGGGAAUAUUGGACAAUGGGCGCAAGCCUGAUCCAGCCAUACCGCGUGGGUGAAGAAGGCCUUCGGGUUGUAAAGCCCUUUUGUUGGGAAAGAAAAGCAGCAGGUUAAUACCCCGCUGUUCUGACGGUACCCAAAGAAUAAGCACCGGCUAACUUCGUG
This 492-nucleotide ribosomal RNA is filed under the name uncultured bacterium. Its description in RNAcentral is "partial 16S ribosomal RNA". It matches the Rfam family "Bacterial small subunit ribosomal RNA", at positions 29 to 507 of the family's 1533-position model. The record is from RNAcentral.